GGGCCCGCACAAGCGGUGGAGCAUGUUGCUUAAUUCGAGGCAACGCGAAGAACCUUACCCGGGUUUGACAUGCACCGGACUUGCCGUGAAAGCGGUAUUCCCUUCGGGGCCGGUGCACAGAUGCUGCAUGGCUGUCGUCAGCUCGUGCCGUGAGGUGUUCGGUUAAGUCCGGCAACGAGCGCAACCCGUGCCGUCAGUUGCCAUCAGGUGAUGCUGGGUACUCUGGCGGGACUGCCCGUGUCAAGCGGGAGGAAGGCGCGGAUGACGUCAAGUCCGUAUGGCUCUUACGCCCGGGGCUGCAAACGUGCUACAAUGGCCGGUACAAUGGGAUGCCAGCCCGCGAGGGCGAGCGGAUCCUCAAAACCGGCCCCAGUUCGGAUCGCAGUCUGCAACCCGACUGCGUGAAGUCGGAAUCGCUAGUAAAGGGACAUCAGCAACGGUCCCUUGAAUACGUUCCCGGGCCUU
This 465-nucleotide ribosomal RNA is filed under the name uncultured bacterium. Its description in RNAcentral is "bacterial SSU rRNA". It matches the Rfam family "Bacterial small subunit ribosomal RNA", at positions 917 to 1382 of the family's 1533-position model. The record is from RNAcentral.